ACAUGCUAGGAUUCUCAAUUUUUUUUUUUAAAUCUUUCUUAGUUGGAGUAUAAAUUCUGAAACAGAUCCAUUUUUUUCUCUUCAGUAUGUUUGGAAACACAUUAAAAUAGAACCAUAAUCAAGCAACCCAAUCCUCAAAUUUUUGUCCUAGUGAGUAUCUGGAAAACAGGUGCAGAAAUGGAUCAUUUGAGACACCAUAGAAAUCUGGUUAAUCCUGCCUGCUUUCCUU
Molecule: long non-coding RNA, 229 nt
Filed under: Jaculus jaculus (lesser Egyptian jerboa)
Lineage: Eukaryota; Metazoa; Chordata; Mammalia; Rodentia; Dipodidae
Description: KCNQ1 overlapping transcript 1 conserved region 5 (ENSJJAG00000008750.1)
Rfam family: KCNQ1 overlapping transcript 1 conserved region 5
Source: RNAcentral